Molecule: ribosomal RNA, 395 nt
Filed under: uncultured bacterium
Lineage: Bacteria
Description: bacterial SSU rRNA
Rfam family: Bacterial small subunit ribosomal RNA
Source: RNAcentral
AGCGAACGUUUGCGGCGGGCUUAACACAUGCAAGUCGAACGAGAAUCCCUUCGGGGAGGAAAGUGGCGCACGGGUGCGUAACACGUGGAUAACCAACCCAUUGGUUUGGGACAACACCGGGAAACUGGUGCUAAUACCAGAUGUGUCGCAGCUGUCUUCAGGCGGUUGCGAGAAAGGCCCGCAAGGGUCGCCAACGGACGGGUCCGCGUCCCAUCAGCUAGUUGGUGAGGUAAUGGCUCACCAAGGCAAAGACGGGUAGCUGGUCUGAGAGGAUGAUCAGCCACACUGGAACUGAGACACGGUCCAGACUCCUACGGGAGGCAGCAGUGGGGAAUUUUGGACAAUGGGCGCAAGCCUGAUCCAGCCAUGCCGCGUGAGUGAAGAAGGCCUCGGUU